Molecule: transfer RNA, 72 nt
Filed under: Caudoviricetes sp.
Lineage: Duplodnaviria; Heunggongvirae; Uroviricota; Caudoviricetes
Description: tRNA-Gln
Rfam family: tRNA
About the family: Transfer RNA (tRNA) molecules are approximately 80 nucleotides in length. Their secondary structure includes four short double-helical elements and three loops (D, anti-codon, and T loops). Further hydrogen bonds mediate the characteristic L-shaped molecular structure. tRNAs have two regions of fundamental functional importance: the anti-codon, which is responsible for specific mRNA codon recognition, and the 3' end, to which the tRNAs corresponding amino acid is attached (by aminoacyl-tRNA synthetases). tRNAs cope with the degeneracy of the genetic code in two manners: having more than one tRNA (with a specific anti-codon) for a particular amino acid; and 'wobble' base-pairing, i.e. permitting non-standard base-pairing at the 3rd anti-codon position.
Source: RNAcentral
UGGGCUAUCGCCAAGCGGUAAGGCACAGGAUUUUGAUUCCUGUAUUCCCGGGUUCGAAUCCUGGUAGCCUAA